CCUGGAUACUCCUACGGGAGGCAGCAGUAGGGAAUCUUCGGCAAUGGACGGAAGUCUGACCGAGCAACGCCGCGUGAGUGAAGAAGGUUUUCGGAUCGUAAAGCUCUGUUGUAAGAGAAGAACGAGUGUGAGAGUGGAAAGUUCACACUGUGACGGUAUCUUACCAGAAAGGGACGGCUAACUACGUGCCAGCAGCCGCGGUAAUACGUAGGUCCCGAGCGUGGUCCGGAUUUAUUGGGCGUAAAGCGAGCGGCGGCGGGUAGAUAAGUCUGAAGUUAAAGGCUGUGGCUUAAACAUAGUACGCGUUGGAAACUGUUUAACUUGAGUGCAAGAGGGGAGGGUGGAAUUCCAUGUGUAGCGGUGAAAUGCGUAGAUAUAUGGAGGAACACCGGUGGCGAAAGCGGCUCUCUGGCUUGUAACUGACGCUGAGGCUCGAAAGCGUGGGGAGCAAACAGGAUUAGAUACCCUUGUAGUCCUAG
This 479-nucleotide ribosomal RNA is filed under the name uncultured bacterium. Its description in RNAcentral is "bacterial SSU rRNA". It matches the Rfam family "Bacterial small subunit ribosomal RNA", at positions 328 to 799 of the family's 1533-position model. The record is from RNAcentral.